ACUUUACAGGCAGCAGCCACACCACGUCUUGCAGGACUGUGAGAAAAUGCCUCCCUGCCUUAUCUCACUCAUUUGCUCGUGAGCAGGCCCCUGGGUCUGAGUGCAGGAGGAGGUGAAAAAUGGCUGGAAAUAUACAGCACAAAUCACAGAGGGAGGGAUUUUACUGCCCUUUACAGCUAGAGAAUACGCCAAACCUGCCAAGGAUGAUCAAAAUCCUUUGGUUGCAUCUCAGGGCACUCGUGUAAAGAGAAGCUCUUCCUUGACACUUACACAGAUCAAGUAUUUGCUGUCACAGAGAUUAUACAAGCCAGAUAACCUCACCUCAUCUGCUAUCACCUUUCAGACGAAAUCCUGAUGUCUCAGUACCCUACCGAGCCUGGAAAGGAAUAUCCUCCUCCCAGAUCUCCGCGGUCUUCCUGGCACUGCCGGAAAACUCGUAUUUCUGCUGAUGCCAUCCAUCUCUUUUUUUCUUCAAUUCUCAAAUUUCUUGAACUCUGAGAUUUUUUUUUUUAAGAAAUAACCGAUGACAUAAUGAUUUCCAUUAGCUACAAAAUCCAAACUUCAUCUCCUCUGGGCCAGCUAAUCUAUCUAGCGAUGUUUUCCUGUACCCCAUGAUCUCCUAGUAUUGAUAAGGAUGGUUAUACCUUUGUUCUUAUUCCCUAGUGAUAAAAUGCAAGAGGCUUAGAAAAGUUAUUCAGAUAUUGCCUGUCUUGACCACUACUGUCAGGAGGAUGCAGAUGCUGGCAGUCUGGAUCAGACUAGUGGUCCAUCUACUUCAGCCUCCUGUCUCUUGACUUUUUUUUUUUUUGUAAAUUUUGUUGUGUUCUCAGGCAUUAAAAUGUACAUUUCCCUCAACCACGUUAUAAUCAAUAUUAUUGUCACUCUGAAGGUUCUCAUUAUUCUUGACCUUGGAGCUGCCUUGUGACUGUGAGUUCCACCGAUUGGGUUUGUUUGUUAAUUUGCGAAAGGAGUGAUUGUUCUCUGUGUAUUUUCUCUUGAUGCUGUUCUGGAAAUGUGUCUUCUGCUAGGUUUCAACUAACUGCUUUUAGUACUUCCUUUAUCAUUAUUCUUGUACUAU
This 1078-nucleotide long non-coding RNA is filed under the name Anser brachyrhynchus (Pink-footed goose). Its description in RNAcentral is "lncRNA (ENSABRG00000007400.1)". The record is from RNAcentral. Lineage: Eukaryota; Metazoa; Chordata; Aves; Anseriformes; Anatidae.